AGUGAACGCUGGCGGUAGGCCUAACACAUGCAAGUCGAACGGCAGCACAGUAAGAGCUUGCUCUUACGGGUGGCGAGUGGCGGACGGGUGAGGAAUACAUCGGAAUCUACUUUUUCGUGGGGGAUAACGUAGGGAAACUUACGCUAAUACCGCAUACGACCUACGGGUGAAAGCAGGGGAUCUUCGGACCUUGCGCGAUUGAAUGAGCCGAUGUCGGAUUAGCUAGUUGGCGGGGUAAAGGCCCACCAAGGCGACGAUCCGUAGCUGGUCUGAGAGGAUGAUCAGCCACAUUGGAACUGAGACACGGUCCAGACUCCUACGGGAGGCAGCAGUGGGGAAUAUUGGACAAUGGGCGCAAGCCUGAUCCAGCCAUACCGCGUGGGUGAAGAAGGCCUUCGGGUUGUAAAGCCCUUUGUUGGGAAAGAAAGGCAGCAGGUUAAUACCCCGCUGUUCUGACGGUACCCAAAGAAUAAGCACCGGCUAACUUCGUG
RNAcentral lists this ribosomal RNA (491 nucleotides) under uncultured bacterium. RNAcentral describes it as "partial 16S ribosomal RNA". It matches the Rfam family "Bacterial small subunit ribosomal RNA", at positions 29 to 507 of the family's 1533-position model. The record is from RNAcentral.